RNAcentral lists this ribosomal RNA (506 nucleotides) under uncultured bacterium. RNAcentral describes it as "partial 16S ribosomal RNA". It matches the Rfam family "Bacterial small subunit ribosomal RNA", at positions 29 to 523 of the family's 1533-position model. The record is from RNAcentral.
AGUGAACGCUGGCGGUAGGCCUAACACAUGCAAGUCGAACGGCAGCACAGGAGAGCUUGCUCUCUGGGUGGCGAGUGGCGGACGGGUGAGGAAUACAUCGGAAUCUACUUUUUCGUGGGGGAUAACGUAGGGAAACUUACGCUAAUACCGCAUACGACCUACGGGUGAAAGCAGGGGACCUUCGGGCCUUGUGCGAUUGAAUGAGCCGAUGUCGGAUUAGCUAGUUGGCGGGGUAAAGGCCCACCAAGGCGACGAUCCGUAGCUGGUCUGAGAGGAUGAUCAGCCAAACUGGAGCUGAGACAGGGUCCAGGCUCCUACGGGAGGCAGCAGUGGGGAAUAUUGGACAAUGGGCGCAAGCCUGAUCCAGCCAUACCGCGUGGGUGAAGAAGGCCUUCGGGUUGUAAAGCCCUUUUGUUGGGAAAGAAAUCCAGCUGGCUAAUACCCGGUUGGGAUGACGGUACCCAAAGAAUAAGCACCGGCUAACUUCGUGCCAGCAGCCGCGGUAA